This 72-nucleotide transfer RNA is filed under the name Bos taurus (domestic cattle). It matches the Rfam family "tRNA". From Rfam's summary of the family: Transfer RNA (tRNA) molecules are approximately 80 nucleotides in length. Lineage: Eukaryota; Metazoa; Chordata; Mammalia; Artiodactyla; Bovidae. The record is from Rfam by way of RNAcentral. RNAcentral also lists the same sequence under 5 other names.
UCCCUGGUAGCUCAGUUGGUAAAGAAUCUGCCUGUAAUGCAGGAGACCUGGGUUCAAUCCCUGGAUUGGGAA